Molecule: ribosomal RNA, 301 nt
Filed under: uncultured bacterium
Lineage: Bacteria
Description: partial 16S ribosomal RNA
Rfam family: Bacterial small subunit ribosomal RNA
Source: RNAcentral
CAGUCGCCACGGUAAAACGAAGGGGGCUAGCGUUGUUCGGAAUUACUGGGCGUAAAGCGCGUGUAGGCGGGUCUUUAAGUCAGAGGUGAAAUGCCAAGGCUCAACCUUGGAACUGCCUUUGAUACUGGAGAUCUUGAGUCCGGGAGAGGUGAGUGGAAUUGCGAGUGUAGAGGUGAAAUUCGUAGAUAUUCGCAAGAACACCAGUGGCGAAGGCGGCUCACUGGCCCGGAACUGACGCUGAGACGCGAAAGCGUGGGGAGCAAACAGGAUUAGAUACCCCUGUAGUCCCUGUCUCUUAUAC